AUCCUACGGGGGGCAGCAGUGGGGAAUAUUGCACAAUGGGGGGAACCCUGAUGCAGCAAUGCCGCGUGGGUGAAGAAGCACUCCGGUGCGUAAAGCCCUGUCAGCAGGGAAGAAAAUGACAGUACCUGAUUAAGAAGCCCCGGCUAACUACGUGCCAACAGCCGCGGUAAUACGUAGGGGGCAAGCGUUAUCCGGAUUUACUGGGUGUAAAGGGAGCGUAGACGGCAGCGCAAGUCUGAAGUGAAAUGCCGGGGCUUAACCCCGGAACUGCUUUGGAAACUGUGCAGCUAGAGUGCAGGAGAGGG
RNAcentral lists this ribosomal RNA (305 nucleotides) under uncultured bacterium. RNAcentral describes it as "bacterial SSU rRNA". It matches the Rfam family "Bacterial small subunit ribosomal RNA", at positions 335 to 658 of the family's 1533-position model. The record is from RNAcentral.